GGCAGUGUGGCAUAGCGGUUUGAGCAUUGGACUCUGAAUUGGAGACCAGGGUUCGAUUCCCAGCUCAGCCA
Non-coding RNA from Phrynosoma platyrhinos (Desert horned lizard), 71 nucleotides. Lineage: Eukaryota; Metazoa; Chordata; Lepidosauria; Squamata; Phrynosomatidae. The record is from the annotation of a GenBank genome assembly.